AGAGUUUGAUCCUGGCUCAGAUUGAACGCUGGCGGCAUGCCUUACACAUGCAAGUCGAACGGCAGCACGAGAGCUUGCUCUUGGUGGCGAGUGGCGAACGGGUGAGUAAUAUAUCGGAACGUACCCUAGAGUGGGGGAUAACGUAGCGAAAGUUACGCUAAUACCGCAUACGAUCUACGGAUGAAAGUGGGGGAUCGCAAGACCUCAUGCUCAUGGAGCGGCCGAUAUCUGAUUAGCUAGUUGGUGGGGUAAAAGCUCACCAAGGCGACGAUCAGUAGCUGGUCUGAGAGGACGACCAGCCACACUGGAACUGAGACACGGUCCAGACUCCUACGGGAGGCAGCAGUGGGGAAUUUUGGACAAUGGGCGCAAGCCUGAUCCAGCAAUGCCGCGUGAGUGAAGAAGGCCUUCGGGUUGUAAAGCUCUUUUGUCAGGGAAGAAACGGUGGACUCUAAUACAGAUCACUAAUGACGGUACCUGAAGAAUAAGCACCGGCUAACUACGUGCCAGCAGCCGCGGUAAUACGUAGGGUGCAAGCGUUAAUCGGAAUUACUGGGCGUAAAGCGUGCGCAGGCGGUUGUGCAAGACAGAUGUGAAAUCCCCGGGCUCAACCUGGGAAUUGCAUUUGUGACUGCACGGCUAGAGUGUGUCAGAGGGGGGUAGAAUUCCACGUGUAGCAGUGAAACGCGUAGAGAUGUGGAGGAAUACCGAUGGCGAAGGCAGCCCCCUGGGAUAACACUGACGCUCAUGCACGAAAGCGUGGGGAGCAAACAGGAUUAGAUACCCUGGUAGUCCACGCCCUAAACGAUGUCUACUAGUUGUCGGGUCUUAAUUGACUUGGUAACGCAGCUAACGCGUGAAGUAGACCGCCUGGGGAGUACGGUCGCAAGAUUAAAACUCAAAGGAAUUGACGGGGACCCGCACAAGCGGUGGAUGAUGUGGAUUAAUUCGAUGCAACGCGAAAAACCUUACCUACCCUUGACAUGUCUGGAAUCCUUGAGAGAUCAGGGAGUGCUCGAAAGAGAAUCAGAACACAGGUGCUGCAUGGCUGUCGUCAGCUCGUGUCGUGAGAUGUUGGGUUAAGUCCCGCAACGAGCGCAACCCUUGUCAUUAGUUGCUACGAAAGGGCACUCUAAUGAGACUGCCGGUGACAAACCGGAGGAAGGUGGGGAUGACGUCAAGUCCUCAUGGCCCUUAUGGGUAGGGCUUCACACGUCAUACAAUGGUACAUACAGAGGGCCGCCAACCCGCGAGGGGGAGCUAAUCCCAGAAAGUGUAUCGUAGUCCGGAUUGUAGUCUGCAACUCGACUACAUGAAGUUGGAAUCGCUAGUAAUCGCGGAUCAGCAUGUCGCGGUGAAUACGUUCCCGGGUCUUGUACACACCGCCCGUCACACCAUGGGAGCGGGUUUCACCAGAAGUGGGUAGCCUAACCGCAAGGAGGGCGCUCACCACGGUGGGAUUCGUGACUGGGGUGAAGUCGUAACAAGGUA
This 1491-nucleotide ribosomal RNA is filed under the name metagenome. Its description in RNAcentral is "bacterial SSU rRNA". It matches the Rfam family "Bacterial small subunit ribosomal RNA". The record is from RNAcentral.